CCUACGGGUGGCAGCAGUAGGGAAUCUUCCACAAUGGGCGAAAGCCUGAUGGAGCAACGCCGCGUGGGUGAAGAAGGUCUUCGGAUCGUAAAACCCUGUUGUUAGAGAAGAAAGUGCGUGAGAGUAACUGUUCACGUGUCGACGGUAUCUAACCAGAAAGCCACGGCUAACUACGUGCCAGCAGCCGCGGUAAUAAGUAGGUGGCAAGCGUUAUCCGGAUUUAGUGGGCGUAAAGGGAACGCAGGCGGUCUUUUAAGUCUGAUGGGAAAGCCUUCGGCUUAACCGGAGUAGUGCAUUGGAAACUGGGAGCCUUGAGUGCAGCAGAGGCGAGUGGAACUCCCUGUGUAUCGGUGACCUGCGUCGAUCUCUGGACGAACACCAGUGGCGCACGCGGCUCUCUGGUCUGUACCUGACGCUGAGGUUCGAAAGCGUGGGUAGCAAACAGGAUUAGAUACCCCAGUAGUC
Molecule: ribosomal RNA, 465 nt
Filed under: uncultured bacterium
Lineage: Bacteria
Description: partial 16S ribosomal RNA
Rfam family: Bacterial small subunit ribosomal RNA
Source: RNAcentral